Molecule: long non-coding RNA, 10056 nt
Organism: Alexandromys fortis (reed vole)
Lineage: Eukaryota; Metazoa; Chordata; Mammalia; Rodentia; Cricetidae
Exons: 4
Source: RefSeq, a predicted model, not a curated record
GAAAAGCCUGCUUCAAGGCUAUAUUGUGAUAAAGACUUUAUUUUGCUUGGAUAUGCGCACACGUCUUACAAGAAUAUUGACGACAUACAAAGGACCAAUAGACAUAAAAUACUAAAGAAUUUUAGAAAAAAUGAGGGGCACGGUGGUGCAUGUCUUUAAUUCCAGCACUUUGGAGGUAGAGUCAGGUGGAUCUCUGUGAGUUCAUGGCCAGGCUAAUCCACAGAAGGAGUUCCUGCUGGAUAACCCUGUCUCAAAGAAAACCAAAAAGAACCGAACAAAAAUAAUUAGACUAGAUACAACCAAUUACUAGGUGGCAUCUCAGGAUCAUUAUAUGAAAGUUUUUUAAACUAGAAUUUGAAUUUGUUUCAUGAAUACCUACAAGGUAUCCUAGUAAGCAUUUAUUGAGACUACUUUAAUAUUCUUUUUUUUUUGUGUGGUUUGUGAGUGACAUGACUCUCUUUAAUUUCCCUCUCUUUCAGAGGUGUGGCAUUUUUUAUCACAUACCUUGCAUGUUAAAAUGGCUCAGAGUUGCAUAUUUGAUUGUUCAAUACUUUGUUUCCCAGGCUGUCCAAGGGUGCCAGCCGCUGGGUAUUGUGGCUCUAUAGCUCAUCCACUGCCAGGAUGUAUAUCUACAUCAACUGAUUGCACAGGAGACUAAGUCUCCCUGAAGAAAGUCUGUGCUACAGAAUGACAUGUAUGUCUAGUAACUAUUCUCUCACUCUUUCCCCAAAGGAACCUACUUUAAUAUUCUUUAUUAAGAAUAUUUAUUUCUUAGAAUAAUUUGUAUGACUUUAUUAAGUCAUACAAAUAGCUACAAGUUAACAAACUUUAUUAGAAAGGAUAAGCCCAGAGACUUCUCACUUCAGACUGUAGGAAAUGGUAAUUGCGGACGGCCCCGAAGGAGUGUCUGAGUAUGACUGUGGUAGGUCAGAACCAUGGUAGGACAGCUUCAUGGGUUGUGUAACCUUGGAGUUGGAUCUUGGUGUCUUUAAACAGUGAGGGAAAAAAAUCCAAGAAAAUACAGAUUAGAAAGUUCACUUAAAGCAGUGGGGAUGUUCUGUGCUUGUGUUUCAAGAAUUCUGGGAAUCAAGGGGAUUACUUUUUAACUUGUAGACCAGUUCCUAGUACAGAUAAUGGGUUUUCUGUCAACAAAACAGCCAACGGUUCACACAAUGGACUGGAGUUCAGGGUGUGAACUUAAACUAGAAUAAAUAGAUAAACCUCCAGAUGCAAUGGUGGAGUUUGUUCCGUGAAGUAAGCACAUCUGAAAAGAAUGCCAACCUUGGCAGAUUCUUUUGUCUCUAGCUUUGAAUACGAUAAGAAAUGCCCAUCCUUGCUUGCAAACGUUAGAAACUUGCAAUGGUAGCACUUUUACUCAUUAAGUAAUGCACAGAGAUUCCAAAAUCUCCGUCCCAAGACCUUUGGGCUCUCAUUGAAGGAGGUGAGUUAACAGCAGCCACUUUCUUAAGUGGCUGUGGUCACAAGAGAGAUUGUAUGCGUAUGCCACAGUGGCUCUCCUCAAGGGGGCUUGUACUAGCUUGAAGUGAAGGUAGUAGGGGUACUUCUGAAGCCCACAGCUCAGAGUUCUCCAGCACCCUGCAUGUGCUACUUAGGACAUGGCUCUUUCCUCUACCUUUAGAACAGGUGGGUGUGAACACACGCCAAAAUGGCCAGAGAGUAGGCUGUUCAGGUCGGUCAGUCUUCACAUGGAUACCCCCCACACACACAUACAUGCACACACAUACAUGCACACACAUACAUGCACACACAUACAUACACACACACACACACACACAGAGAGAGAGAGAGAGAGAGAGAGAGAGAGAGAGAGAGAGAACAAGUCCACUAUCCCAGAAAACUCCUCCCUGCCAUUUUACAGAGCAGACUGUUUCCACCCAGUCUACUGCAGAGAUGAUGCCCAUCUGAUUUUGACCAUGAACUUCUCAUUAUAUUCCCAUAUCCUGACAGUUUUUUUCUAAGCUACUUUUGAUUUUUGAUAUAUGUUGAAAUAUACAAGCAAAACUAAAAUUAAGCUUUGUUCGUAGAGUGCAAAAAAAGAAAACUUGAUUUUUCUCCAGUUUGUCUAUUUCCUUGUUUCAUUUGUUUCUUUUGUUUUUAUUAUUUGCAUCUGGUGAUUUAAUUUGGACUUACUCUCUACUUUUUUCUGACAUCUUACGGUAAUACCUUAGCUGAUUAAAACCUUCUUCAACUGUAAUCCGCACUCAGUGAAUCUGUUUCCUAAUGUCCCAAGUAGUCCUUUCUUUCACUCAGGUAUUGUUUACAAGUGUGUUUCUUAUGCUAUGGAAGUGAGGAACUUUCUUAGCUUUAUUGCUAUUGGUUCUUAAUUCAGUAGCCAUGUGACCAUAACAUGAUUGCUGAGUGGUUUUUUGACUCUUUGAUGCUUAUUGAGUUUUUUUUUUUUUUAAAGGAUGUGUUUUCUGAAAUGGUUGGAGAUAACUUUUAUUUGAAGAGUUCCACAUUCUACUUUGGACCACCUCCUUGCCAUUUUGUCACUAUUUUUCUCUUCUGUCCUGGGUCCGGAAUCCCCGAGCUUCAGACACACUUGCUCAGGGAAGGAUGACCCUGUGUAUCACGCAGCUGUUAGUUAAGGGCCUUUCUUCUGAUGACCUCUUCAGGCUUUCUCAGCACCCCUCUAAGUGAAUUGCACCUUUGCCAGCUAUAGCUAACGUCAUAGCAUACCUUAAAGACUCCUCCUUUGCCCGAAGACAAGGGAAUUAAUUCUGUCAUUCUAAUUAUUUCUGUAGCGGCGCCAGAGGCUGGGAGAUCUAAGCUACUGCUCCCCUCGGAAACCUCCUAAGCUGGUCUUCUACAUACGGUACACGUUACUCUCAGCAGUACUGCCUUCUGAGCUCCUACUGCAUUCCAGUGUUGGAGCACUACCCUUCUUUGUUACGUUUUAUAUGAAGAAAGCACAACCAGAGAAGCUUUACUAACAGAGGAACACUUAGGCUGGUACUGCUAGGUAGUCCGGGCUGCAUGUAUUAGCCUUCCACAGGGGAAAUAUGGGGGAAAGUAGCACUCAGUAUCUGGAGUUCUUGAGACUUGUGGAAAAUUUUUCCCUUUUCUACAUCAGUUUUGAAUGAUUGGGUCCCUGUCUUCUAAUGCUCUAGAGAGGCAAAUUUGGAAAGGAGCAAUCUAGGACAGGUUUUUAAGCUAUAGGACUAAAUGGAAUAGUCUCAAAAUAGGCAUUGAUAAAAGUGCUAAAUCUCAAGAUAGAAUCCUGGACAGACAUACCAAGAUUCAGAGCCUGAUCGGAGGUACAAGAGCCAUUCAAGGAGACUGAAUAGGAGGUGGGAGGUGGAGGACAGUGAAGAUGACACAACACCAUGGAAGUCAAGACAAAAAAGAGUGCUUUCGGCCAGAGAGAUGGCUCAGUGUUUCUGUGUGUACAGUGAUCUUCUGGAGGACUUGAGUUUGGUUUGUAGCACCCAUGUUAGGUGGGUCACUAUGUCCUGUGACCCCGCUCUAGGGUUUUCUGUUCUUUCUUCUAGCCUCCAUGUAUAUCUGCAUACAUGUAGCAGCACAUGCACAUAAUAUACAUACAUAAAAUAAAGUAAAUUUUAGGGAAAGGAAGAGUGUCUCUAAGAGGAGUGUGCUGGGUGUCAUUAAGGUAUCUAAUUCAAGAAGACAGAAUUGGCUGUUGGUUUAGGUAAUGUCAAGCUCAUUCUUAGAGCAAUGGCCUCAAGAAGUUGGGGUGAAAUCCACUUGGAAACCAAUAACAAAUUCAUCUGGGUAGGAGGAGCAGAUAAAAAAAUGAAGGAAAUGAACAAAUGCGCAAAAAUCUGAUUUAAGAAUUUGUAUGUUGAAGAUCUCGGUUUAAAAAAAAAAAAAAACUUUUGAAGGCCAAAGUGUCAAAGUUUUGUUCUUAUCAUGAAGCUUUUAAAUCUGAGCUAUUCUUUCAACCAGUACCUAGCUCCUAGUAUUGUAGGUGGCCAAAAUGAAUCAUAGAGAAUAGGAAUUCAAUACAAAGGGAAUGUUGGCUUUGGGAACAGCAUGUUCAUUAGUAAUUUGACAGCAACAACUUCCAUGAAAGGUUGUUCUGCAAGUCUUGGAUGUUUGGGAUGUUGUGCUGACUAGUUUAUAAGACAACUUGACAUAAGUUAUAGUCAUCUGACAGGAAGAAACUAAUUGAAUAAUAAUGCCUUUAUAAGAUUUGGCUUUAAGCAAGCCUGAUGGGCAUUUUCUUAAUUAGUAAUUGACCUGAGAGGACCCAGUUCAUUGUGAGUGGGUCACCCCUGGGCUGGUAGUUCUGGGUUUUAUAAGAAAGCGGUCUGAACAAAUCAUGAGGAACAAGCCUGUAAGCAGCACUCCUCCGUGGCCUCUGCGUCAGCUCUUGCCUCCAGAUUCCUGCCCUAUUUAAUUCCUUCUCUAACUUCCUUCAGAUCAUGAACAAUGCUGAAGAAGUAUAAGCCAAAUCAACCCUUUCCUCCCCAGUUUGCUUCUAGCCAUGGUGUUUUAUGACUGCAGUAGAAACCCUGAGUAAGACAGAAAUUGGUACCAGUAUAGUGGAGUAUUGCUGUGAGAGACCUGAUCAUGUUUUGGGGAGGAUGGUGGAAGGACUUUGAAACUUUGGGCUGCAAAAGCUAUUGCGUGUUCCAAGUGUGAUGAGUUAUUCUGUUGGAGCCUGAAAGAUAAGAGUGUUGAGAGAAACACAGAUAGGGGAGGCUGGCUUACGAAAUCCCAGUGGGAAAUUUGAUAAUCUGUGGUUCUGGUUAGCUGGGGCUAAAGAAUUGUCUGAGAUUAGCAAGAGACCAGAACCACAAAAGUGAAACCUUUGCUUUGCUGGGCUAAUUGACAAUGGGCAUCUGGAACUGAGAAAUUAUCAAGGGUGAAGAAGAGACAUGCAUAGUUGAGCCCCAGCUCCAGCAGGAACUCCCUGGGAACCUGAGCUUACUCCAGCCAGUCAAGCAGAAACAGCAGAGCCAUGGCGCUCAAGGACUCACUGCAAUUGUGGUCAUCUGCGUGAGACCGCCACAGGACAAGGUCACUCAAUAUUACAUCAAAGCUGGAUGACUGCCCAGUGACGUCCCGCUCUUCCCCAGGAGACGGUUGACAAGCAAAAUCAGUGGUGCAGUCACCUGUUAAGGUGUCCUAGCUCCAGUAAAGAACCUCCCAUCACACUUGGGUGAGAAACAUGCAAGUCAGUAUUGCUACAGGCAAAAGAAGACAUCAAAGUAAGGGAGGUUUACUGAGAAGGGACUGGUGCACGCGAGAGAAAUGAAGUAUAUAAAAUUAUUGGAACUCAUUUUAUAAAGCGACUGGAAGAAUGACGUGGUGCUCAGCAAAGCAAGCACUGGAGGAGAGACCUUCAUCCUAUCAAAAACUGAUGCUACGGAAACGAGAGGAUGUGGGCUGGGUCCCGCACGAUCCAGUCUAGCUGUUUGAAUUCGGCCUUCAGGUCUUAUUGACUAUACCAUCUUGACUAAAUUAAUGAACCUUUCUGCACUUUGGAUUCCUCAUCUGUAGAAUGGGUUCAAUAAUAGCAAUUACCAUUUUGGGUCACUAUGAAGAUUAAACAGAUGAAAAAUAUGUAUAUAGAUGAUUAUGAAAGUCAGGAUCCCAGAGUUACAGAUCAGUCAACAUCAUCCAUUGUUCUAGAAAGCUGAAAAUUUAUCAUACCUGGGUGAGGCAAUUAUUCGGCAGCAUCAAAGAGAGCUGAAACUUCCAAACUGAGAGCUUAACCUUCCAAAUACAGAAGACUGCCCGACCGUCUUUCUUCCUUCCUGCCUUCCUGCCUUCCUGCCUUCCUGCCUUCCUCCCUCCAUCCUCCUUCCCUUCUUUCCUUCCCUCCCUCCCUCCCUCCCUCCCUCCCUCCCUCCCUCCCUCCCUCCCUCCCUCCCUCCCUCCCUCCCUCCCUUCCUCCCUUCUUUCCUUGCUUCUAAUACAUAUAUUCUGAUUAUGACUUUCCCUUCCUCUUCUCCUCCUAGUUCCUCCCACCUCCCCUUCCAUCCAGAUCCACUCCCUUUAUCUCUCAUUAGAGAAGAAUUUCUAAGGCUUCUAAGAGAUAAUAAUAAAACGUAACAGUAAAAUAUAAUAAGGGAGAAAGGAAACUAGCAUUGGAAUUAGAUAGGACAAGCAAACUGAAGGGAAAGAGCCCGAGAGCAGUCACAACGACCAGAGACCCACUUGUUCACACAGUCAGUAAUUCCAUAAAAACACUAAAGCCAUAAUAUAAGCCCAAAGGACCUGGGCCGACCCGUGCAGGCUCCGUGCUUGCUGCCUCAGUCUCUGUGAGUUCAUUUGAGCUCUGCUCUUGUUGAAUCAGAGGACCUUGUUUCCUUAGUGACCUCCAUCCCUUCUGGAUCUUACACUCUUCACCUCCUCUUCCAUGGGAUUCCCUGAGCUUAUGGGGAGGGGUUUGGUGGAUACAUCCAAUUUACGGUUGAGUAUUCCAAGGUCUCUCACUCUCGGUGUAAUGUUUAAUCUUAAUUUCCAAAAAUCAUUUUCUUAGAUAAGUGAUGUCAAUAAUCAAUAUCCAUUUUUUCCCUGUUAAACCAGAUUUUUGUUUCUACUUUUAUAGGUCAAAAUCACCCCUAAACCGAGGUUUAAGACUCCACUCUCGUCUUGAGAUGUCAACAGCACCUAAGCUAGGCUACUGGGUGCUAUUUCUAUUUACUUUGACUUGGUGCUUGCCUCACUGGCUACUCUUUCUCAGCCUUCAUCAUCAUCUUGAUUUAUCUGUGUCCCUGGCCAUAGGAAUUCCUUGUUUUCAGUUUCUUGGGCCACAUAGCUCAGGCUUGCCAUCACACCUGCUCAGAGCAAGAGGGCCCUGCAACUGAUUGUCCCACCAGUCACGUUCUCAAAUGCAGGGGCACUAAUCACCUCAUUGCCCGCCCCCCCCCCCCGUGCCUGUGACAAAACACAAGUAUUUUAGAACUGUAAUGUCUCGUGAAGAGUGCUCAACCCACCCAAACCAAUGGCAUCAAUGUUAUAAGAGACCUAUUUCAUCCGCUCUCUCUUCCCUUUCUCGGACUCAUUUUCUCGCUGUAUGUCUGUCCUGCUCCAUCCUGCACGUCGAAUCUUUUUGUGUGGAUUGUGAGUUUGUUUCCCAACUCCUAAGACACCCAUACUGUUGCUUGUAUCAGAAGAGUUGAGCAAACAGAAGGUCAGUUGCUCAACGAUCCCAACUUGAAUGCUUUAUUUUGAGAAACAUAGAGAAAGGUACUGAGGUGAAAUGACGGAAUCACACUGGUCCCCUACCCAGAGGCAGAAAUGGGAGGAGAAAAAGAGACGAGAAGGCAGACACAUGGCUUCUCCUCCUGGCUGUGUCUGGUUCCAUAUUUGGAAAAAUAACCCUAAAUUUCUCUUCAUUUAUUUUUGUUUAUAAUAAAAAGUGAGGCUAAGCUUGAGAUGGGUCAGGCUGUCAGAGAGCAAGCAAGGAAGGAAAUCAGGCUGAAGUGCAUGGCACUUGGGAGUGUGAGGAAUGAGGAAGCUAGGGCUUGCCUUUCUUUUCCGUUUUAAAUAUUAAAAAUCACCAAGUCCAGUAGAAAUCCUACCUUCCUAUUUCCUUCCUGAGGGUAUGCGUGAGACCGUCCUAACUUUUGCUUGCUGGAAGUCUGCAGUUUUAGAGUCAACUUUUUCAAAGCUGAUACCAUGUCCACAAUUCCACAUGAAGACGGACUUAGAGACCGCCAAACCCGCAUGGGCCCCCAAGCUGCACAGAGCCCUGAUGAAUGAAUAGGACCACAUUAUAAGGGUAUCCAGAGAGUAGGGCAAAAGUUACCGACUGUCUUCCUGAAAUAUACCGGCAAGAAUGCGAGCCUUAAUUAACGAAGCCCAAGGUUGAUUUUUCUUGCUGCCUUUUUCUCUGAAAGACAAAUAAUAAGAAAUGAAUGAGGUUGGGAGCAAAUGAGAACCAUAUUGGGAAAGCGAAGCCUAGUCAAACUUUUGGCUGGGCUGGUUGCAAAGAGCUAGAGUUCUUUAAUCAUCUCAUUGGAGAUGUAGCCAAAAGAAAAAUGCAAUUUGAAACACACACACUCAUGCACACACUCACACACACAUACACACACACUCACAUACACUCUUCCACACCCACACCCUCCCUCUUUUUCAUUGCAGAUGAAUCAGGAUGGUAAGAUGGUGGAGACAGGAUAUGAUGAGAACCAUUCCUGCUCUCCACCUACUUUAUAAAAAGCCUUGGCAAUCAUAUCUGGGAGACCCAUCUAUCAAUUCUUAUAGCUUAAGUGUGUAUGGUACAAUGUUCGUUGACCCCAAUAAGCCCCGAGGCAGCUGAAGUUGGCCGUGGGUUGGGUAUGUGCUAAAAUGGUAGCACCCGGAGGCUCCAGACUUUUCUAAGAGAUGUGUUUCUGGAAGAAGAAGGAUCUGUUUGAGAAUGAAAGCACUCUACUCCAUCUGAAAAUGGGCAAGGCCCCUAUAAUAGGAUUCAGAUAAGCCUCUUUUGGAAGUAAGAUACCCCCUUACUAGCGAACAAAUUGAUGAAACACAGAACCAUUUUUCUUAUGCCUGGCUUGGCCGGGUCAGAUGUACACAAAAUCCCCUCUCCACUCUGCUCUUCACAAUUCUUUGGUGUAAGGAUUUAAAAGGUGCUAUUGUCUUUGUUAAUAAAGAGACAGAAAACACCGUCUUGUUUUAUGGCAGUAAAAGAUUGUGAUGGAAAAAUUUUUUAAUAAAGUCUCACUUAGGUUGAUAGUAAAUAAAUUCAAUGUACCUUAGGAAUGUUUUUAUUCAGCUUUCAUUAUUUCCUUUGCUUAAAGAGAAUGGUUUAGCUUCCUGGUUCCCUUAUCUCCUUAUUUAUUAUUCUCCAGGGAACAAUGGAGUCUCUUAGCUUCCGAAUUAUCUGGGAACACUCAGCUCAGAUUCUUCGACUUUCAGAGGGGGAGUUAGUUGCUCACAGAGAGAAACAUCUCGAUUUCCCAGUGAAGGUUACUUCCCACUGUGGGAGUCCAGAGACGCCAGACUCACUUGAGUGACAGAGAGCCAUAUCUCCAAAUCUGGCUUCUGGAAAUAGCAGAAUGCAUUUCCAACCUCCGCUUGCCAAUUGCCUAUUAUAGUUAUCAGUUUGUACAGAACAAAGAAGUGAGAAGCUUUAUUGGCCCUUCUUUGCCAUCCCCUUUCAUAGUUUAAAGGGCAAGUUAAUGAAUGGAGAACUUUAAAAAGAAAACAGUUUUAGUUCUGAUCAGGGUUCUCUUUCUUUAGGGGACUUAAUUUAGGAACAAUAUUACUAUGGUCUAGAUAGGAGCCACCCAAAAGUCCGUGUGGGCAAAGGCUUGGUUUCUAGACUGGCAUUACUGAAAGGUAGUAGAAACUAUAAAGAAGAGAUCUAGCUGGGUGGUGUUGGUGCAUGCCUUUAAUCCCAGUACUUGGGAGGCAGAGUCAGACAGAUCUUUGUGAGUUUAAGGCCAGCCUGGUCUACAGAGCUAGUUCCAGGACAGCCAGAGCUGUUACACAGAGAAAUCCUAUCUCGAAAAACAAAAUAUAUGACAAAACAAACAAGCAAGCAAACAAAAAGAGAUCUAAUGGGAGGUCUGUAGGUCAUUGGAGGCAUGGCCUUGAAGAAACAGUGGGACCCUGGUCUCCUGCAGGUGGGAUGGCUAGCUAGUGUUAUCACCCUUACUGAAUCCAGACCACCAGGGUGUCAUGCCUCUGGUCAUGCCUACAUGGAUUGUCUUCAUUAUGUGUGUGUUAACUGAUGUAGGAAAGAACACCUUAACUGCAGGAAGUACCUGGACCAUGUCAGUGGAGAGGGCAUGUUGAGCAAGAGCUAGCACACAUCCAUCAGUUGCUGCCCGUCUCUUCACUGAGGAUACAAUGUGAGCACCUCUCUCCAGCUCCCACUGCUAUGCCUUUUCCCACAGUGAUGGAUUGCAACCUUGAACUGUGAGCUGAAAUAAGCCAUUACCUCCUGACCUUGCUUCCUUUCGAGCAUUUCGUCACAGCAACAUGAAAAGAAACUAAGAUAUCUGUUCUUGCCGUGACAUGCUGUCAGAGGCCCAAAAUAGCUGGGUCAAUUGAGCAUGGUGGACACUCUUAGAACUAUAAGAUGAAUAGAGUCUCUUCUUUCUAACAGUUGCUUGU